This is a non-coding RNA of Fukomys damarensis (Damara mole-rat), 273 nucleotides long. NCBI's taxonomy places the organism in Eukaryota, Metazoa, Chordata, Mammalia, Rodentia, Bathyergidae. The record is from Rfam.
UGGCGCCCAAAAGUGGGGCUCGAGACACGGGGUCUUCACCUGGUGGAUGCUGCUCGGAAGAUCGGCCGAUUGACUCAUAAGCAGUCCGCUCAGACCCACCCGUCUGAGAAAGCGACCUGCGAGGUAAGUGAGCAGCAGGAACGAUGGGACAACAGGUUAGUAAACAUGAAAUUUUUGUUCAGGACUUAAAGUCCGCUCUCAGGGUGCGGGGAGUUCGGGUUAAGAAAAAGGAUCUAAUCAAAUUCUUCAAGUUUGUGGAAGAAACCUGUCCUU